CGCGAAGAACCUUACCAAGUCUUGACAUAUAUCGGAGAUAUUAAGAAAUUAGUAUUUAAAGCACUUGUGCUUACUGAUAUACAGGUGGUGCAUGGUUGUCGUCAGCUCGUGUCGUGAGAUGUUGGGUUAAGUCCCAUAACGAGCGCAACCCCUGUCGUUAGUUACCAGCAUGAAAGAUGGGGACUCUAGCGAUACUGCCGGUGAUAAACCGGAGGAAGGUGGGGAUGACGUCAAAUCAUCAUGCCCUUUAUGACUUGGGCUACACACGUGCUACAAUGGCAGGUACAGAGGGAAGCGAGACUGUGAAGUGGAGCAAAACUCAAAAAGCCUGUCCCAGUUCGGAUUGCACUCUGCAACUCGAGUGCAUGAAGUCGGAGUUGCUAGUAAUCGCGAAUCAGAACGUCGCGGUGAAUGCGUUCCCGGGUCUUGUACACACC
RNAcentral lists this ribosomal RNA (437 nucleotides) under uncultured bacterium. RNAcentral's name for it is "bacterial SSU rRNA". It matches the Rfam family "Bacterial small subunit ribosomal RNA", at positions 960 to 1391 of the family's 1533-position model. The record is from RNAcentral.